UUGAUACAGAACGAACAUCUGACGGCGUGCCUAAUACAUGCAAGUCGAGCGGAUUUUCAUUAGCUUGCUUUUGAAGAUCAGCGGCGGACGGGUGAGUAACACGUGGGCAACCUGCCUGUAAGACUGGGAUAACUUCGGGAAACCGGAGCUAAUACCGGAUAAUCCUUUCCCUCACAUGAGGGAAAGCUGAAAGACGGUUUCGGCUGUCACUUACAGAUGGGCCCGCGGCGCAUUAGCUAGUUGGUGAGGUAACGGCUCACCAAGGCAACGAUGCGUAGCCGACCUGAGAGGGUGAUCGGCCACACUGGGACUGAGACACGGCCCAGACUCCUACGGGAGGCAGCAGUAGGGAAUCUUCCGCAAUGGACGAAAGUCUGACGGAGCAACGCCGCGUGAGCGAUGAAGGCCUUCGGGUCGUAAAGCUCUGUUGUCAGGGAAGAACAAGUACCGGAGUAACUGCCGGUACCUUGACGGUACCUGACCAGAAAGCCACGGCUAACUACGUGCCAGCAGCCGCGGUAAUACGUAGGUGGCAAGCGUUGUCCGGAAUUAUUGGGCGUAAAGCGCGCGCAGGCGGUUCCUUAAGUCUGAUGUGAAAGCCCCCGGCUCAACCGGGGAGGGUCAUUGGAAACUGGGGAACUUGAGUGCAGAAGAGGAGAGCGGAAUUCCACGUGUAGCGGUGAAAUGCGUAGAGAUGUGGAGGAACACCAGUGGCGAAGGCGGCUCUCUGGUCUGUAACUGACGCUGAGGCGCGAAAGCGUGGGGAGCGAACAGGAUUAGAUACCCUGGUAGUCCACGCCGUAAACGAUGAGUGCUAAGUGUUAGAGGGUUUCCGCCCUUUAGUGCUGCAGCAAACGCAUUAAGCACUACC
This 871-nucleotide ribosomal RNA is filed under the name Mesobacillus subterraneus. RNAcentral describes it as "bacterial SSU rRNA". It matches the Rfam family "Bacterial small subunit ribosomal RNA", at positions 19 to 870 of the family's 1533-position model. The record is from RNAcentral. Lineage: Bacteria; Bacillati; Bacillota; Bacilli; Caryophanales; Bacillaceae.